This 486-nucleotide ribosomal RNA is filed under the name uncultured bacterium. Its description in RNAcentral is "partial 16S ribosomal RNA". It matches the Rfam family "Bacterial small subunit ribosomal RNA", at positions 30 to 507 of the family's 1533-position model. The record is from RNAcentral.
AUUGAACGCUGGCGGCAUGCCUUACACAUGCAAGUCGAACGGCAGCACGGGUGCUUGCACCUGGUGGCGAGUGGCGAACGGGUGAGUAAUACAUCGGAACAUGUCCUGUAGUGGGGGAUAGCCCUGCGAAAGCCGGAUUAAUACCGCAUACGAUCCACGGAUGAAAGCGGGGGACCUUCGGGCCUCGCGCUAUAGGGUUGGCCGAUGGCUGAUUAGCUAGUUGGUGGGGUAAAGGCCUACCAAGGCGACGAUCAGUAGCUGGUCUGAGAGGACGACCAGCCACACGGGGACUGAGACACGGCCCAGACUCCUACGGGAGGCAGCAGUGGGGAAUUGUGGACAAUGGGCGAAAGCCUGAUCCAGCAAUGCCGCGUGUGUGAAGAAGGCCUUCGGGUUGUAAAGCACUUUUGUCCGGAAAGAAAUCCUUGACUCUAAUACAGUCGGGGGAUGACGGUACCGGAAGAAUAAGCACCGGCUAACUACGUG